Molecule: ribosomal RNA, 479 nt
Filed under: uncultured bacterium
Lineage: Bacteria
Description: bacterial SSU rRNA
Rfam family: Bacterial small subunit ribosomal RNA
Source: RNAcentral
AACAAACGCUGGCGGCGUGCCUAAUACAUGCAAGUCGAACGGGGAAAGUAGCAAUAUGAGUACUAGUGGCGCACGGGUGAGUAAUACGUGGAUAAUCUGCCUUCGAGUGGGGGAUAACUAGUCGAAAGAUUAGCUAAUACCGCAUAAGACCACAGGAUCUGAGGAUCUAGGGGUUAAAGGUUUUUCGCUUGAAGAUGAGUCCGCGCGAGAUUAGCUAGUUGGUGAGGUAAUGGCUCACCAAGGCAACGAUCUCUAACUGGUCUGAGAGGAUGAUCAGUCACACUGGAACUGAGACACGGUCCAGACUCCUACGGGAGGCAGCAGUAGGGAAUAUUGCACAAUGGAGGAAACUCUGAUGCAGCGACGCCGCGUGAGUGAUGAAGGCCUUCGGGUCGUAAAGCUCUGUCGCAGGGGAAUAAGCAAGUGAAUGUACCCUGAAAGAAAGGAAUCGGCUAACUUCGUGCCAGCAGCCGCGGUAA